Molecule: non-coding RNA, 72 nt
Organism: Potamilus streckersoni
Lineage: Eukaryota; Metazoa; Mollusca; Bivalvia; Unionida; Unionidae
Source: the annotation of a GenBank genome assembly
GCUCCAGUGGCCUAGUGGUUAGAACGUCCGCCUCGGAUGCGGGAGGUCGUGGGUUUGAUCCCUGGUCGAGUU